AUGGACAAUCUACUCCAAGCAAUCGCCAAGCUGAGAGAGUGCUUACGCUCUCUCUCAAUAUGGGUCACUCCACCACCCACAAAUGGAGACCAUAGUGUCACUCUGAAUAUGGAGAUGACAUCGGAGCAAAGUGCACCCAGGUUACUCAAGAGCCUGAAUAUCAAGGGCGUGCGCUUUCCCAACUCCGGGCUGCCUCGCUGGAUCUGCGAGCUACAUCUACUCUCUGAGAUUACACUGUGGAACACUUUUCUAUCUACAGACUCUCUGCAGGACCUUGGCAACAAUCUCCAUCACUUGCGCUGCCUUCGGCUCCGUCACAACUCGUACAACGAGCACAAGCUCACCUUCAGCAAGGAUGGAUUCCAAGACCUCAGGUUUCUCAUCAUCGAGGGCGACACCAUCACCACCGUCGACUUUGAAGAAGACAGCACAACACAUUUACCUCAACUCAAAAAGAUCCUUUGGCGCAACAUGGCCGUCAACAAGGAAGCACCUUGCCCUCGGCUCAAGAAGAUUGUUUGGCGCAACAUGGCCAUCAAUCAGGCGGGCACGCUUUCUGGAAUCUGCCACCUUGACAUGUUGAAAGAAGUGGAGCUCAAGGGCCACUUCACCGACUCGAGCAUCAUUCCGCACAGCAAUGGGUGCAAACCGAGGCAUGAGCCAUGA
This 666-nucleotide ribosomal RNA is filed under the name Triticum aestivum (bread wheat). Its description in RNAcentral is "partial small subunit ribosomal RNA". Lineage: Eukaryota; Viridiplantae; Streptophyta; Magnoliopsida; Poales; Poaceae. The record is from RNAcentral.